AGCGAACAGGAUUAGAUACCCUGGUAGUCCACGCCGUAAACGAUGUUCACUGGCUGUAUGCGAUAUAUAGUAUUCGGUUGAGCGAAAGCAUUAAGUGAACCACCUGGGGAGUACGUUGGCAACAAUGAAACUCAAAGGAAUUGACGGGGGCCCGCACAAGCGGAGGAACAUGUGGUUUAAUUCGAUGAUACGCGAGGAACCUUACCUGGGCUUAGAUGUAUGGUGCAUGGAUUGGAAACAAUCCUUUCCUACGGGACUCUUUACAAGGUGCUGCGUGGCUGUCGUCAGCUCGUGCCGUGAGGUGUCGGGUUAAGUCCCAUAACGAGCGCAACCCCUAUUGCUAGUUACCAACGCGUUAAGGCGGGGACUCUAGUGAGACUGCCACCGUAAGGUGUGAGGAAGGUGGGGAUGACGUCAAGUCAGCACGGCCCUUACGUCCAGGGCUACACACGUGUUACAAUGGCCGGUACAAAGGGCAGCUACUAUGUGAAUAGGUGCUAAUCUCUAAAGCCGGUCUCAGUUCGGAUCGAAGUCUGCAACCCGACUUCGUGAAGCUGGAUUCGCUAGUAAUCGCGCAUCAGCCAUGGCGCGGUGAAUACGUUCCCGGGCCUUGUACACACCGCCCGUCAAGCCAUGGAAGCUGGGGGUACCUGAAGUCCGUAACCGUAAGGA
This 672-nucleotide ribosomal RNA is filed under the name uncultured Bacteroidota bacterium. Its description in RNAcentral is "bacterial SSU rRNA". It matches the Rfam family "Bacterial small subunit ribosomal RNA", at positions 767 to 1451 of the family's 1533-position model. Lineage: Bacteria; Pseudomonadati; Bacteroidota. The record is from RNAcentral.